CAAAGUGCUCACAGUGCAGAUAGUUUACACUCAUCUACUGCAGUCUGUGCACUUCA
Molecule: microRNA precursor, 56 nt
Organism: Gadus morhua (Atlantic cod)
Lineage: Eukaryota; Metazoa; Chordata; Actinopteri; Gadiformes; Gadidae
Gene: gmo-mir-20b
Product: gmo-mir-20b
Source: Ensembl